AGCGGGAUGGCUCAACGGUAGAGCGACCGGCUGUUAACCGGCAAGUUCCAGGUUCGAAUCCUGGUCCCGCUG
This 72-nucleotide transfer RNA is filed under the name Planctomycetota bacterium. RNAcentral describes it as "tRNA-Asn". It matches the Rfam family "tRNA". Rfam says of the family: Transfer RNA (tRNA) molecules are approximately 80 nucleotides in length. Their secondary structure includes four short double-helical elements and three loops (D, anti-codon, and T loops). Lineage: Bacteria; Pseudomonadati; Planctomycetota. The record is from RNAcentral.